This 440-nucleotide ribosomal RNA is filed under the name uncultured bacterium. RNAcentral's name for it is "bacterial SSU rRNA". It matches the Rfam family "Bacterial small subunit ribosomal RNA", at positions 958 to 1398 of the family's 1533-position model. The record is from RNAcentral.
AACGCGAAGAACCUUACCUAGACUCGAACGGCUUAGGACCGGUGUAGAAAUACACUCUUCUCGCAAGAGACCUGAGUCGAGGUGCUGCAUGGCUGUCGUCAGCUCGUGUCGUGAGAUGUUGGGUUAAGUCCCGCAACGAGCGCAACCCUUGUCCUGUGUUGCUAAUCCGCAAGGAUGCACUCUCAGGAGACCGCCAGCGAUAAGUUGGAGGAAGGUGGGGAUGACGUCAAGUCAUCAUGGCCUUUAUGCCUAGGGCUACACACGUGCUACAAUGGACGGUACAAACCGCUGCAAACCCGCGAGGGGGAGCUAAUCGGAAAAAACCGUUCUCAGUUCGGAUUGCAGGCUGCAACUCGCCUGCAUGAAGCUGGAAUCGCUAGUAAUGGUAUAUCAGAAUGAUACCGUGAAUACGUUCCCGGGCCUUGUACACACCGGAGUGC